GUCGAGAAUCUUUCACAAUGGGGGCAACCCUGAUGGAGCGACGCCGCGUGGAGGAUAAGGUCUUCGGAUUGUAAACUCCUGUCAUGCGUGAACAAGGUUGCUUGGUUAAUACCUGGGCAAAUUGAUGGUAACGCAAGAGGAAGAGACGGCUAACUCUGUGCCAGCAGCCGCGGUAAUACAGAGGUCUCAAGCGUUGUUCGGAAUCACUGGGCGUAAAGGGUGCGUAGGUGGCGUGGUAAGUCAGAUGUGAAAGCCCGAGGCUCAACCUCGGAACUGCAUCCGAUACUACCAUGCUAGAGUACUGGAGAGGUGACUAGAAUUCUCGGUGUAGCAGUGAAAUGCGUAGAUAUCGAGAGGAAUACCAAAGGCGUAGGCAGGUCACUGGACAGUUACUGACACUGAGGCACGAAGGCCAGGGGAGCGAACGGGAUUAGAUACCCCAGUAGUCC
RNAcentral lists this ribosomal RNA (449 nucleotides) under uncultured bacterium. Its description in RNAcentral is "partial 16S ribosomal RNA". It matches the Rfam family "Bacterial small subunit ribosomal RNA", at positions 354 to 796 of the family's 1533-position model. The record is from RNAcentral.